UACGUAGGGGGCGAGCGUUGUCCGGAGUUACUGGGCGUAAAGCGCACGCAGGCGGUCUGUUAAGUUUGGAGUGACAGUUGGUGGCUCAACCACCAAAGUGCUUUGAAAACUGAUAGACUUGAGGGCUUCAGAGGGACACGGAAUUCCGGGUGGAGUGGUGAAAUGCGUAGAGAUCCGGAGGAACACCAAAGGCGAAGGCAGUGUCCCGGGGAGUACCUGACGCUCAGGUGCGAAAGCCAGGGGAGCGAACGGG
Molecule: ribosomal RNA, 253 nt
Filed under: uncultured bacterium
Lineage: Bacteria
Description: partial 16S ribosomal RNA
Rfam family: Bacterial small subunit ribosomal RNA
Source: RNAcentral